GGGCCCCGCACAAGCAGCGGAGCGUGUGGUUUAAUUCGAUGCUACACGAAGAACCUUACCAGGGUUUGACAUACAAGUAUAGGGAAAGGAAACUGGACCGACCCUUCGGGGAGCUUGUACAGGUGCUGCAUGGCUGUCGUCAGCUCGUGUCGUGAGAUGUUGGGUUAAGUCCCGCAACGAGCGCAACCCUCGCCUUUAGUUGCCAGCAUUCAGUCGGGCACUCUAGAGGGACUGCCGGUGUCAAACCGGAGGAAGGUGGGGAUGACGUCAAGUCAUCAUGGCCCCUAUGUCCAGGGCUACACACGUGCUACAAUGGGCGAUACAGAGUGACGCGAAGCCGCGAGGUGGAGCAAAUCGCAGAAAAUCGCUCUCAGUUCGGAUUGGAGUCUGAAACCCGACUCCAUGAAGGUGGAAUCGCUAGUAAUCGCGCAUCAGCAUGGCGCGGUGAAUACGUUCCCGGGCCUU
Molecule: ribosomal RNA, 465 nt
Filed under: uncultured Longilinea sp.
Lineage: Bacteria; Bacillati; Chloroflexota; Anaerolineae; Anaerolineales; Anaerolineaceae
Description: bacterial SSU rRNA
Rfam family: Bacterial small subunit ribosomal RNA
Source: RNAcentral